GGGCGGUUAGCUCAGCGGGAGAGCAUUCGCCUCACACGCGAAGGGUCACUGGUUCGAUCCCAGUACCGCCCACCA
This 75-nucleotide transfer RNA is filed under the name Desulfuromonas sp. Its description in RNAcentral is "tRNA-Val". It matches the Rfam family "tRNA". From Rfam's summary of the family: Transfer RNA (tRNA) molecules are approximately 80 nucleotides in length. Their secondary structure includes four short double-helical elements and three loops (D, anti-codon, and T loops). RNAcentral also lists the same sequence under 5 other names. The record is from RNAcentral. Lineage: Bacteria; Pseudomonadati; Thermodesulfobacteriota; Desulfuromonadia; Desulfuromonadales; Desulfuromonadaceae.